AAAAAGAUAAGUUAAGUUUAAACUGUUUGGUUCAUACUCAAAAAAUAUAAAAAUUUAUUCUUUUUA
RNAcentral lists this transfer RNA (66 nucleotides) under Enterogyrus malmbergi. Its description in RNAcentral is "tRNA-Met". The record is from RNAcentral. Lineage: Eukaryota; Metazoa; Platyhelminthes; Monogenea; Dactylogyridea; Ancyrocephalidae.